UCGAAAUUGUCGGAAAGGGA
Molecule: non-coding RNA, 20 nt
Filed under: Sclerotinia trifoliorum
Lineage: Eukaryota; Fungi; Ascomycota; Leotiomycetes; Helotiales; Sclerotiniaceae
Source: RNAcentral